GGAGUUAGCUCAGUGGUAGAGCGCUUGCCUAGCAAGCACAAGGCCCUGGGUUCGGUCCCCAGCUCCG
Rattus norvegicus (Norway rat) is the source of this 67-nucleotide non-coding RNA. The record is from Rfam. Lineage: Eukaryota; Metazoa; Chordata; Mammalia; Rodentia; Muridae.